UCUAUAGUGGCUUAAUGGUAAAGCUUUUGGUUGUUAACUAAAAAAAUACCAGUUCAAUUCUGGUCUAUAGAG
RNAcentral lists this transfer RNA (72 nucleotides) under Tethya wilhelma. RNAcentral's name for it is "trnN". It matches the Rfam family "tRNA". Rfam says of the family: Transfer RNA (tRNA) molecules are approximately 80 nucleotides in length. Their secondary structure includes four short double-helical elements and three loops (D, anti-codon, and T loops). Lineage: Eukaryota; Metazoa; Porifera; Demospongiae; Tethyida; Tethyidae. The record is from RNAcentral. RNAcentral also lists the same sequence under 1 other name.